AUUGAACGCUGGCGGCAUGCCUUACACAUGCAAGUCGAACGGCAGCACGGGAGCAAUCCUGGUGGCGAGUGGCGAACGGGUGAGUAAUAUAUCGGAACGUGCCCGGUCGUGGGGAUAACGUAGCGAAAGCUACGCUAAUACCGCAUACGAUCUACGGAUGAAAGCGGGGGAUCGCAAGACCUCGCGCGAUUGGAGCGGCCGAUAUCAGAUUAGGUAGUUGGUGAGGUAAAGGCUCACCAAGCCGACGAUCUGUAGCUGGUCUGAGAGGAUGAUCAGCCACACUGGGACUGAGACACGGCCCAGACUCCUACGGGAGGCAGCAGUGGGGAAUAUUGGACAAUGGGCGCAAGCCUGAUCCAGCAAUGCCGCGUGCAGGAUGAAGGCCU
This 386-nucleotide ribosomal RNA is filed under the name uncultured bacterium. RNAcentral describes it as "bacterial SSU rRNA". It matches the Rfam family "Bacterial small subunit ribosomal RNA", at positions 30 to 417 of the family's 1533-position model. The record is from RNAcentral.